UCGAGAAUCUUCGGCAAUGGGGGAAACCCUGACCGAGCGACGCCGCGUGUGGGAUGAAGGCCCUUGGGUUGUAAACCACUGUCAGAGGGGAUGAAGUGCGGGAGAGCAAUCUCUUCCGUUUGACAUAGCCUCAGAGGAAGCACGGGCUAAGUUCGUGCCAGCAGCCGCGGUAAUACGAACUGUGCAAACGUUAUUCGGAAUCACUGGGCUUACAGGGUGCGUAGGCGGCUUGUUAAGCAGGGUGUGAAAUCCCUCGGCUCAACCGAGGAAUUGCGCCCUGAACUGGCGAGCUUGAGUGGGAUAGAGGUGCGUGGAACUUCCAGUGGAGCGGUGAAAUGUGUUGAUAUUGGAAGGAACACCAGAGGCGAAAGCGGCGCACUGGAUCUCAACUGACGCUGAG
RNAcentral lists this ribosomal RNA (400 nucleotides) under uncultured bacterium. RNAcentral's name for it is "bacterial SSU rRNA". It matches the Rfam family "Bacterial small subunit ribosomal RNA", at positions 355 to 750 of the family's 1533-position model. The record is from RNAcentral.